CCUUAACCUGGCCUUGACAUACUAAGAACUUUCCAGAGGAUGGAUUGGUGCCUUCGGGAACUUAGAUACAGGUGCUGCAUGGCUGUCGUCAGCUCGUGUCGUGAGAUGUUGGGUUAAGUCCCGCAACGAGCGCAACCCUUUUCCUUAUUUGCCAGCGGGUUAAGCCGGGAACUUUAAGGAUACUGCCAGUGACAAACUGGAGGAAGGCGGGGACGACGUCAAGUCAUCAUGGCCCUUACGGCCAGGGCUACACACGUGCUACAAUGGUCGGUACAAAGGGUUGCUACCUCGCGAGAGGAUGCUAAUCUCAAAAAGCCGAUCGUAGUCCGGAUCGCAGUCUGCAACUCGACUGCGUGAAGUCGGAAUCGCUAGUAAUCGCGGAUCAGAAUGCCGCGGUGAAUACGUUCCCGGGCCUUGUACACACCGCCCGUCACACCAUGGGAGUUUGUUGCACCAGAAGUAGGUAGUCUAACCGCAAGGAGGACGCUUACCACGGUGUGGCCGAUGACUGGGGUGAAGUCGUAACAAGGUAGGCGUAGAUGA
This 543-nucleotide ribosomal RNA is filed under the name uncultured bacterium. RNAcentral describes it as "bacterial SSU rRNA". It matches the Rfam family "Bacterial small subunit ribosomal RNA", at positions 968 to 1509 of the family's 1533-position model. The record is from RNAcentral.